AACGGGUGAGUAACACGUGGGUGACCUGCCUCCGAGCGGGGGAUAACGUCCCGAAAGGGACGCUAAUACCGCAUAACAUCCUGCCUUUUAAGAGGUGGAGAUCAUUCUCUGGGGAUCGCAAGACCUGGCACUUGAAGAGGGGCCCGCGCCUGAUUAGCUAGUUGGUGGGGUAAUGGCUCACCAAGGCAACGAUCAGUAUCCGGCCUGAGAGGGCGGACGGACACACUGGGACUGAGACACGGCCCAGACUCCUACGGGAGGCAGCAGUGGGGAAUUGUUCGCAAUGGGCGCAAGCCUGACGACGCAACGCCGCGUGGAGGAUGAAGACCUUCGGGUCGUAAACUCCUUUCGAUCGAGACGAAUGGUUUCCGGGUGAACAAUCCGGAGAAGUGACGGU
This 397-nucleotide ribosomal RNA is filed under the name uncultured Acidobacteriota bacterium. RNAcentral's name for it is "bacterial SSU rRNA". It matches the Rfam family "Bacterial small subunit ribosomal RNA", at positions 101 to 476 of the family's 1533-position model. The record is from RNAcentral. Lineage: Bacteria; Pseudomonadati; Acidobacteriota.